UGGCGGACGGGUGAGUAACGCGUGGGUAACCUGCCUCAUACAGGGGGAUAACAGUUAGAAAUGACUGCUAAUACCGCAUAAGACCACAGAGCCGCAUGGCUCGGUGGGAAAAACUCCGGUGGUACAAGAUGGACCCGCGUCUGAUUAGCUAGUUGGUAAGGUAACGGCUUACCAAGGCGACGAUCAGUAGCCGACCUGAGAGGGUGACCGGCCACAUUGGGACUGAGACACGGCCCAA
RNAcentral lists this ribosomal RNA (238 nucleotides) under uncultured bacterium. RNAcentral describes it as "partial 16S ribosomal RNA". It matches the Rfam family "Bacterial small subunit ribosomal RNA", at positions 96 to 334 of the family's 1533-position model. The record is from RNAcentral.